GAAAUGCGAUAAGUAAUGUGAAAUUGCAGAAUUCAGUGAAUCAUCGAAUCUUUGAACGCACCUUGCGCUCCUUGGUAUUCCUUGGAGCAUGCCUGUUUGAGUAUCAUGAAAUCUUCAAAGUAAAUCUUUUGUUAACUCAAUUGGUUUCUACUUUGGUAUUGGAGGUCUUUGCAGCUUCACACCUGCUCCUCUUUGUUCAUUAGCUGGAUCUCAGUGUUAUGCUUGGUUCCACUCGGCGUGAUAAGUUAUCUAUCGCUGAGGACACUGUAAAAGGUGGCCAAGGUAAAUGCAGAUGAACCGCUUCUAAUAGUCCAUUGACUUGGACAAUACUUUUAUGAUCUGAUCUCAAAUCAGGUAGGACUACCCGCUGAACUUAAGC
RNAcentral lists this unclassified non-coding RNA (379 nucleotides) under plant metagenome. Its description in RNAcentral is "partial contains 5.8S ribosomal RNA, internal transcribed spacer 2, and large subunit ribosomal RNA". The stretch from base 1 to 106 matches the Rfam family "5.8S ribosomal RNA", at positions 50 to 154 of the family's 154-position model. The record is from RNAcentral.